GUUGAAAUUAUUGAAUAAAACCCUCUGUCCUUGGGGUGGGUGUAUCCUGAUGUACUGCUGGUUCCAGAGGCACUUGAGGCCUCAGCUGAGCCACUGCUGUGGCGUGUACCUCAGAAAUGGACGGUGAAUUCCUGUUGGUGAAGAUACUUUAUACUCUGCAAUGCGGGGCAUAUAGAAAGUAGUCUUGGUCUGAGUAGGCAGCGCCAUCCCUACUGGGUGAUGGCCAUAGUGCUAAAAGGCUUUAUGUAGUUCUAUGAGGGAGAGUACCACUAUGCCAGGGAAUAAGUGCUUUCCAGUAUAACAGUGGCGCGACUAUUAAGGGGGCUACCAACUACUUCCUGCUUAGAUUUAAAGUGUGCAACACUGGAAGAAACCUCUAUUUGGUACUUUAAGCCAGGGAGAAAAACAUGUCUGAAAAAUCACAGGUCUUAGCGGAUAACCCACUGCCUUCUUGGGUUGGUUGUUUUAUAUUUGUCAAAUUGCUUUCUAAACAUCCAUGUUUAUACCUGUAGAUUAGCACCGUAUAGGCUGAAUAUCAAAGGAAACCCUUUAUAAUGGACAGCAGCUGGGAGACUUAUAAUUAUUCAAACUGCUGAGGACAAAUGUCUGUUACCGUGGAUGCAGCUGUUACUGUGGCAAAGGAGUCCAGUACUCAGAAAAAAGGGCCCCACGAAAUCAUCCCCUCCACAAUUCAGGGAACACUGUAGAAAAGAGGAGAAGAAUGCCAGAGAGCUGGGGAUAUGGCUCAGUGGGCAAGAGCAUUUGUUGUGCAAGUAUGAAGGCCUGAGUUUAUCACCAGCUCCCAUGAGAGGGCCAGCUCUGGCCAUGAGCACCUAUAAUGCUAGCACUCUGACUGUAGGAAUGGGGAGAGCCCUGGGCUUGCUGGCUAGAAAGAUGAGUUCCAGGUUCAGAGAGAGACCCGAGGGACAGAGCAGAGAGCAACAGAGAAGGAAACCCAAUGUCCCUCUAUGGUCUUUUCACUCACACAUGGGCACUUGCACACACACACACCCCAUACGCAGGAAAUAAAACAGAAGGCAAGGAAAGAACGUACAGUUGGAGCAAGGAGUGGACUGUAGUAUAGCUAUUUCCUCUAGGUAUGAUGUGACGCCCAGCCAUAGUGAAGCUGGUCCUUACAGAGGGCUUCCGUAUCCCUGGUGACAUAACCAGCAAAACAAUGAACCUGAUAACUAAUCUACUGCAGUGGCACUGGGCCGCUCACGUUCUCUCGUGGAAAGAGGAGAGCCAUGAGAUGCUCACCUGAGACUUCAGUCAUUCUCUUCUCUUGCCUCAGCUGCAUGCGGUCUUGAGGGAUGUUCAAGUAUACAGGGAAACCGAAGGCUGACUGGAGGUUGAGACGCUCUAAUUUUAGUAUACGUGCUGCCGAAGCGAGCACUGGUUGAGACGCUCUAAUGGCACAGCUAUUUGAGCUGCCUGUUCUCCUAUACGUAACCCCAGGACACUCAAUCACUUCACCAGGUUAGGUUUGAAUAGAUUCAGUCUUUUGAUCUGUCAGUGUCCCCUCUGUAUGCCACCCCUGGUCAAGUUAUACAUUUGUGUAUUAUGCUAAAUAAGUCUUACCCAGCAAGGUUCCCGUUACACUGUUUUAUGAUGGUGGCUCAGACACUCAGCCACUGGUGGAAAAACAUUUGAACGGAAGUGGCAUCGGCUGCAGCUAAUUUACUGGCAACAGGGAGAAUGUUGACUGUAGAAGGGGUGGCAUGCACAGGGCUGGUGGCAGAGAUGGCCACCUGAGCAUAUUUUAUUAGGUUCUUCUCUGUCCCAGGUACUGGGUGUGAAGUACCAGAUUAUAUCCCUCCACCCCCCCCCCCCCCACACACACCUGAAUGAUCUCCUGCCCCAGGUUCUUCUUAUGACGUGACACAGACUCUUGGACAGGGUCUGUGUUCCUUACUCUUGUAUCUGUGACCAUGGCAGGAGUGAUUCUGUGUUCUAAGGCUAGGUCAUGAGUGGACCAGCUAUAAGUCUGGGAGGAGCUAUCACACAGGGGCGGCUGGAGAGCCCAGUGUGCACUUUUCCCAGAAGUAACUGCCAGACAUUCAGGUGUGAGAACCUUCAGUACAGCUGGUGUGAACUGUCCUCCUUCACCCAAGCCAAUAUGACAGGCCUCACUACUGACCUCACUCCGGACCAGGCUCUGACAGAUUUUUCAUGCUGCAGGCUGGUGUACAUCAAAAGAGGCAACGAAAUAGUAAGUCUUAUGACAAAAACAUCGAGAUUGUGAAAGAGACCAAAAGUCAGCAAAAGCAGAAGAAAGCAAAUACAGUGGACAGGACGGAACGACGUCAUUGCUAAGCAACCUUACCUAAGGACAUAGCUCACCAAUGCUUCCAGAAUGUCAGGAGAGAGCCAGUGCCUCCUUAUGAAGGGAAGUUUGGGUGAACGGGCUCUCUGAUUAAACAGGAGAAGAAGCAAACACACCCUGUUCUUUCUCUGAAAGGGAGUGACUGAAGAAAGAGACUGAGGACGGCUCUUGUCCAGCUCCUAACCUGCCACUCUGUGUGCAAGUUUAAGGAACGAUUCUUCUAUGCUCUCCUCACCUCUCUCCCAAUUCAGAUCUUAUACCCUAAGCUUCCUCUGUCAGCCCAGAAAGCAUAAGGGUGAUAGGGUUGGCUCAGACCGUAUAGCCACUCCAUGUGAUUAAAGUCUGUGAUGGUUAAUGUCACAUCACCUCUGAGCAUGUGUGUGAGGGAGUUCUGAGCCUGGGUCAAGUAAAUGGGAAAAGCCAUUCUAACUGUGGGGUUGCACCAUGGGCUGAUGGGACAGGAGGAAGUGGGUUGAAUAUCAGCAUUCAUCUUCUUCCCAAAGCCCCAAGAGCAUGUUGGCCUGUUUCCUACCCACACUCACCCUCUGUCCCUCCUUACCUCUGCAGAAGUAAGGAGACAGCUGUUGAAAAUCCCAGCAUUUCACUUGGCCACUUCCCUUGGGAUCCAGCCCUCAUGCUGAGACCAUCUUUGAAAGAGGCAGAGACCAGACACACACCUCUUAUAUAUAGACACUUACCAACCUAUGUGAUCCUGACCUUGAGAUUUCUCUAGAUUUUCUGCUGCUUUCUAACUCCCUCUGACGCGAUUUGGAAGACACACGGCGUGCAAAAGUGAAGAACACACAGGCAUUGUAAUUAGACAAUGCAAAGUACCGUGGAUGUCAAUGGCAUUAAGUCUCUCCUCUGGGUCUCCAGUUAGGGACAGGCUGGGGUCUUGGAAUAGUGGUUGUGGGUAUUCUGGGAGCAAGCUGAGGAAGAGAUCAGGUCUUAGCAGUCAAUGUGUGAACUCUUUGUCACGUGACUUCUGCAUAUGGUGCCUGCCCUUAAUCACUGGUAGAGUGGAUCUCUAGUCUUCUCUAUGGACAAUGGAAUGGAGACUCUCUGCUGUAUGGGAGGUGGGAAGGAAGCCCAAAGGUAGGAUCAAACUGUGAGUCACAGGAAGGUUAACACUGGGACCUAGCAAUCUGAAAGACCUUCCCGUGGAUUGUGCAAACCCCUCUAUGGAAGGAGUAGUAUAUGGAUUGCAUCUUACAUAUAUAACAGAGGAUCAUGGGAUGACCUAUGCACAGUAAAGAUAAUGUCAACAUAACCUAGAGAUGCCAGUCAUGUCAGUCAAGGAAAGACCCACCCCUCCAGAGAGCAGCUCCCCUUUCCUCUGUAAUUAUUAUAUCCUGGACCGGGCAGGAGCUCUUGAGCCAGGGCCUGCUUCAGCUGUCCCUGCUCGGCACAAUAUAUCUUUCUGCAUUCGAUUUCAUCUUUAAUACAUCUAAGAUUCUGCUACUGCUUUUCUGUGUCUUGUUCAGUUCUUUGAGUCACAAAGACUAUAGAUACCAUGCUAAGAAUGGCUCUUGCCUCCUCUGUAAUAGGAAAGCUCCGGAGACCAGACUUCUCUUGACAGUCCUUCAAACCAAUCGUCUGGCCCCAGACCCACUUAGGUGCCCGUUUUCAGAGGUUCCUGGAAUUAUGUUUAAUUCCUGAGCCCAGGGCAUUCUGCAUUGCCAGCUACUAUACCCAAGUCCCAGAUCAGCAUGGGAAGUUCCCAGGUUGACACAGAAGCUAGUCCUUCUCAGUGUGUGUUCUGGCUUCCUGGACUAUGUAGCUGUGGUUACUCCUCUUGGUUCAAAUCCCCUCACUACUGGGUAUAGUGCUGUAUGCCUGUAAAUACCAGCUUGGAGGAAGCAGAACAAGAGGAUCAGAAGUUCAAAGCCAGCCUGGACAAGAGUGUGUUUUGAGGCAGCAAGAGCCUGCCACAAAAACUAGGCUGAAUCCCUUUCCCUCCAACUAAAGGGGUUUCGAUUAGAUCUCUGUGUUAUACUAUGUUAUUAAUGAAUGUUAUUUAAUCUACAUUCAGCUGUACACUUGAAUGCUUAGUUUCAGUCAUUAUGAUUUUGAUGGAAAUUUACAUAGGCUCUACUGACUACUUGUGGUACCAUGGGCAUUUUCACAAUAUUAAUUCUGCCAAUUCCAAAGCACGGAAGAACUUUCUACCAUCUUAUGAGUGUCCCUUUUGAUUUGUUUCUUCAGUGUAUAAUGUUUUCAUCAUAUGUGACCUCUAGGGAAGAAAGGUUGGUUUAUAGUUAUAAAAUGAACCUCACUGUGUAUUUAAAUUUGACUUUAUUUUGGACUCUGUAAGUUACUGAUGACCAUGAUCUGGUUUUUACAGUUACUUGUCUACCUUUUUCUUAGGUUAUAAUAGUUUUUAGACUCUCCGCUUCCUGUGUUGUUCUGUAGAACAUUAUACAUUUAUUAUCAUCUGCACCAUUCAUAAAUUAAUCCUUUUUGUAAUCAAGAUUUUUUCUCAAUGAAACUUCUAAAGUUUGAUUUUUUAAUUCAUGUCUGGAUGUAUUAAUGGAAAUCUUUAUCACCAAAUGCAAGCUUUAUUUCCAUUCACUGACAUAAACGCCAUUAGCCAUGACCCCAUUCAUGUUAGUUUCUCUUUUUAUUUCAUUGAUUUAGUCAUGCUUUUCCCCUCUGAGACAGGGUCUCGGUCUGUAGUACAAGCUGUCCUGCAACUACUAAGCCCAGGCUGGCUUGAACUUGGAGCCCUCUCCUACCUCAGGCCUCCCAGGUGCUGGUAUUACAGGUAUGAACCCUCAGGCUCAGAUAUGUAUCCCUCUUGUUUUUAAAUUAUAUGCACUGUUAUUAUUCUAUUAUAAUUGUGCUUCUCUAAUUAUUUAUGCAAAACAUGGAAUUUGGAGUUUCUCUGUUAUCUUCCUACUAAUCGCCUGUAAAAAAGGAAAUUACCAACAUGGGCCAGCCAUCCUGAUUUGUUUCUAAAGAGUUGGUUCUUAUGUUAAUAAUGUGUUCUGAAGAACUCCCAGCAAAACAUCAAUUGUUCUUCAUUAUUCUACUAAUUGGAUUUUCUGGCUAGUCAUGUUACCCAAGACACUAUGAAUUAGUUAAGCCUAAAAUGUUCCUUGAAAAGAAAAAAAUGUUCAGGGAAAAACCAGAAAUUGCUGGAUUUAAUUUUUUAUUUAGUUACCAUAAAGAACCUUGGUUAUAAUGUUCAUAUUUGACUUUCUCUUCUCCUUUAGACUUAGAAUAGUAAAGAUAUCCCUGUCACAGAGUCUUGGACCAACCCCAAGAGGUGAGAAAGAAUGACACUAAGAACUGUCCCCCAGGACCUUGAUUUUUGAAGCAUCUCUCACCUCUAGACACCUGGCCAGUCUCCAGCUGAUCCUAGCAGUGAGUUUGCAUUGACUUCUUUCCUACAGGCACAGUUAUACUUUCCAUCCACACAUGGCUUUAAAAGCUCAGCUCAGAUCUCACCAGUGUUCUUGACAGCUUACUUCUAUGAGUAGCCAAACUCACAGGGUUGUUGUUUUGCCUAAUGGGUCUCAUUUGGUGCAUUGAAAUUACUUACAUAUGUUAAAGUGUGUCCUCAAUUUGGUUAUGACAACCUUCAGGGUAGAAAUAUUAUCCCUUUUCUGAGAUAGGGUUAUAUAAUGUAGCUCAGGCUGACUUUGAACUCAUAACUCCUCUGACUUAGCCUCUUAAGGGCUGGGAUUAUAAAGCAUUACCAAAGCCAGCCUCAGAAAUAUUGCUGUGUGUCUCCGUCAAGGAGUCCCUGUCCUCUUGGUUGAGAUGAUGUUCAAAGCUCAACCUAGGUUGAUAAUCAGGUAGAUUUGUGCUACACCAAAUACAGAUACAGCACUCUACAGCUCAGGCUGGCCCUCAACUUGUGAUCUUCUAGCCUCAGCUUCCUCAGUGCUGGGAUUACAACUGUGUUCUACCAUGACCAGUCGUAUGCCUCACUGCUUCUGAUCUGUUAAAUGUGGCCAAGCUCUAAGGCCAUUUCCAGAGCUAACAUCUGAUGUUCAGUGUACCUGAGGAAACAAUCCAAAGGAAUGGGAUGAUUUAUUCACAUUCACAGAGCCGAUCAUGGCUGAAAUGUUAAGGUGAAGUUCAAUCUCACAGCCACAGCUUACUGGUUCUUUCAGAGUGUCUGGCAUCCUUCAAAAUGCCAGCAUGCAACUUUCCUAAGGACACAUAUACACUGACCCAACUCAGUACCUGCACUAGUUGGAGUAUUAAAAAAGUAUCUGAGGUGUAUCUCCAAAAAGGCUUAAAUAGGCUGAAGUAUCACCCAGAGAAAGGUGGUGACUGACAUAGAACAUGUGAGGUAGCUCAGUCUGUGAAGCAUGAGGACUUUGGAUCCCUAGCAUCCAUGUAAAAAGCCAGUGGCAGCAAGGCACACCUAUAAUCCCAGGCUGGGAGAGCCAUUUGGAUCUCACAGGCCAGCCAGUUUAGUUGAAUUAGUGAGCCCCAGGUCAGUGAGAGAUCUUGCCUCAAAAAGAAAAAAACAGGUGGAGUAGCCAAGAGGAGUGCUCAGUGGGUAAGGGCGCUUGCCACCUAAGUGUGAGGACUUGAGUCUAAUUUCCUCACAAGGAGUCCCUGUCCUCUUGGUGACUCCAUGGAUAUACCAGACACAUUGCAUGAACAUCUACAAUCCCAGUGUUCCUACAGGGAAGUGGGGAGUAAAGGGAAUACCCAGAAGUCCAUGGGCCAGCUAGUUUGUGUGUGAGGUAUCAAGACUACAGAGAGACCAUGCCUCAGACAACAUAGAAGGUGUAGACUGAUACCCAGGGUUGUUCUCUGAACUCCACACAUACAUGCUGUGGUAUUACUCAAAUGCCUGCAUUCAUACACCCAACUGCAUGUACGCACGCACGCGCGCGCGCGCACGCACAAACACACACACACACACACACACACACACACACUCGGUAGAGGAAUACACCUGACCUUGACCUCUGACCCCCACAUGCGUGCACAUGCUCAUGAACUUGUACACUUGUCCAUGUUCCCUCCCCAAAUAAAUACAUGUUACGUCCAUGCUUAAAACCCUCUUGGACUCCAUCUCUUUUGUUGUGUUUUGGAGCUUCAUGUAGUCCAGGCCAGCCUUAAAAUUACUUUGUAUCUAACGAUGACCCUGACCUCCUGACCUUUCUGCCUCCACCUCCCAAGGGCAGGAAUUACAAAUUUAAGCAAAUUUUAACAAUGGCCACUGUCUUCCCCCCUGACCUGUCUAUCCUGAUCUUUCAGUCAGCUUCAACUCCAAUGACUUUUCUGCUGCCCACAAUGCGCCAUGUAGGCUCCUUCUCUAGGUUAAACUUGAGUCACCUUUACCUCCUACCUCACUUGACAUUGGGUUUCUGUGUCAAUGUCGUCUGUUGGACAGGCCUUCCACCACCAUCCCAUAUACGAUCAUGUGCCUACAUCAAGCUCUCCCCUGGUGUUUCCAUAGUAUUUAACAUCACUUGGCUUACACUGCGUAUCUACCAUUUGUAGAGAGAAUUUGGGUUUCUUAAAAACCACAGCUAUGUUUUGUGAACAUGUUUUUGUUUUAUUCCCAGGUGUGGGCUAAGAGGCUGCUUCCCAGCGGAUGAUUAUGAUUUGCCUUGUGCACUAGCAGGGGUGUGAUCUUUGCUAGUUGCAGUGAGUUUCAUUCUGGGGACCCUGGAGAGGGAUGAAUGGGAGAGCCCUGAGGAGGAGCUCUGAGAAGGCUGCCACUCCCCCUGCUGCUGUGGUUUGUCAAGCGGUCAUGAGUGGUUUGGAGCUACCCUGAUAACAAAGAUUGGGUUUGUCUCAAGGAACCCAACACCUUAAUCAGCAGGAAGCAUCUCAUAGAGGUCUACGCCUCCUUUCCCCUCUAACCUUUUUCUCUUACAUCUAGAACAGCACCUAGAAACAGCAGAUACUUAAUAAUUAAAAGUAGAAUGAUUGACAGAUUGAAUGAGGAUGUUCAUGCCUCAUGGGUGCUGUGUUUCUAAAGGGGGAGAUUUACAUCAGUCGAAAGUCUCUUAGUGGAAAACAAAUCCCUUGUUGGGCUAGGUUCUUCUGGAUGAAGGUGAAAGUUAUAAUCUAAAAUUCCUCCUUCCAUCCCAAGGUCUUACUAUGCAGCCCAGGUUGACCUUAAACCUAAGAUCUUCCCGUCUCAAGUCUCCUGAAUGCUGGGAUUACAGGCAACUACUACCAUGCAUGGGUAUAAUUUAACAGCAAAGUCUGAAGGCCACGACUACACAGUACCACCUCUAUGUUACUGUUGGGGGCUCAAGAUAGCACUGUUUUGUUUUCUGCCUAUGGUAUCUGUGGGAUUUCUGUCCUCUUGGAUACUUAAACCAGGCAUUUAUGCUAAACUUUGUCUGCUGGUCUCAAACUUGACACAAGCUACAGUCAUCUUAGAAGAGGGAGCCUCAACUGAGAAAAUGUCUCCGGAGAUCAGGCUGUACAGAAGCCUGUAGGGCAUUUUCCUAAUUAGGGGUUGAUGGUGGUGGGCCAGGACAUAAUUGGUGGUGCCACCCCUGGACUGGUGGUUGAGGGUGCUAUGAGAAGGCAGAAGGCAGGCUGAGUAAGCUAUGAGGAGCAAGUCAGUAAGUGGCAUUUCUCUGUGGCCUUUGCAUCAGCUCCUGCCUCCUGGUUUCUGUUGACUGUUUGAGUUCCUAUCUUGACCUUCCCUCAAUAGGCUGUGAUUCAGGAUAGUAAACUAGAUAAACUCUUCCCCCUCUAAAAGUUGCUUUUGGUUAUGUGUUUAAUCAUAGCAAUAGUAACCCUAUGAGGUGUGUGUGUCUGUGUGCCCACGUGCGUAGGAACUCAUGUAUGAACAGGUACCAGUGUAUAUCAGACCUUUCUGAAGGUGGAUAAAAAUGACCCUUCCAUACCUCAAAAUCGUCCUAGUUCAGUUCCUGUCAAUCUCCUGAUUCAAUCUUCUCCCUCUCCUUAAACUGGUUAUUCAUAUCAUGCCACAUACUCCUGUGACUGAGAAACAUAGGAAAAUGGCAUGCAUGCACAGACAAGUUCCGUCUCAGUCAGUGUGGGAUUCAGCACAAGCCUUCGAGGACAUGAGCCACAUCUAAGAGAGACUGUGUGUGUGUGUGUGUGUGUGUGUGUGUGUGUGUGUGUGUGUGUGUAUGUGUGUCAGGUGGGGCUGGCUGUUGAUUAAAGGAAGGUGUUCUGGUGAUAAAUACAGACAACAUCAGAUAGGAUAUGAACCAGGAUUCUGACAAUUUUCUCUUGCGAUGUUUUGAUAGCAGCCAUCUGAUCUAGACUUUUAGAAGAAAGGGUAAAAUCAGGGAAGCCUGGUGGGGAAGACCUCAGGCUCUGGCUUGUGUGAAGUCAAUGCAAUGUCCUUAUUCUUACGGGAAAGCAGGGCUAUCAGUGACAUUCAGAGACUGCCGGGGAUGCUAAGCCACCCUCUGCUCCGAAGAUCUAUUAGCGUCUCAAGACUGGAACAUUAUAAACCUAGCACUUGUGGAGGCUGAUCCCCUCAGGCUGGUGUCUGAAGAUUCUAGAAAGAAGCAGUAAAGGCAUCUGUAACCCAUGCUGCACGGGUAGGAGCACAACAUGCACUUAUUCCCUAAAACUGCAACAGAAAAGAACGCAAAAGAGGGCUGGGAAACCACCUAGUCUACACAGUAACUAUUUUAGCCAUUGUGGGACAGAUGGUUCUGUCUUUCCACUGAACUCCGCUCGCAGAGUGGGAAGGCACGGAUUACACAUGAGAGAGAAUGGGUGUGGCAGUCUCUCAGGGAAACCCAGAACCAGGAGGUGGACAGGAGCAAAGCCUGGGUCUCCUGACCCUUGGAACAGGAGUAGGGUGGCCAUUGAGCUUUUCAUGACAAUGGAUAUGUUCUGUAUUUGUGCUCCCAAUACGGCAACCGCCAGCUCACCCAUGAUUAAACGAUGCAGCUAGUAAGACUGGCAAGCUGAAUUUUUGACCCAUGAAAAUUAAUUUUUGCAUGUGGACGCUCAUGUGUGUUCAUGCACAUGUGUGCAUCUGAGCAAUCUUGGGCGUACCAUCCACCUUGUUUUUAAAGCCAGGCUCUCACUGGCCUGGAGAUCACUAAUUAGGCCAGACUGGAGUGCCACAUUUGUCUCCAGCAUUAUGGUUCUAAGCAUACAUGAACAUGAAUUGUUUUUUUUUAAUGUGGGUAAUAGGAUCAAAUAGCAAAUCCCCACACUUACAUGGCAAGCACUUUAUUAACUGAAUCUUCUCCCUAGCCCCAAAUUAAAGUUUCAGAGGGACCCAUGGGUACUGGUGUUGAAAGGUGUUUAAGAUCUAAAAGUUCUUAAAAUGGCUACAUAAAACACAAGAAGUCAUAGGUUCAAAAGAACUCACCCAGCAUGGAGAGGUUUAACAUCCACAGACACUGUCGUGUGCUGUGGGCAGCCUUUCAUGUUCAGGGACUGAGGAGAUGGCUGGACACUAUGAUAAAGAAUCAGGGAUAUGAUGGAGCGCUGCAGGGGACAGCAGACUCUCCUGGUCUCUCUCCUCCGCAGCAGUUUGCCGAAGUGGAAGUGGUACUGGGUCAUCAGCUUUCCUGGUUACAGGGGCCUGCUGUGCAGUGAGUAAUGGAGAGGGGGCAGCGAGAGCCUGGAGGCUGAUGUUGGAUCCAUCAGAAUGACUUUAAGGCACACUGGCGUUUCUUUCUCACCUAAGAAAGGUCUUGAAAUAGCCUUGCAUCUGCCUUGGGGACAUUCACAUUUCCUGUAAAGCUGGCUGUCAGAGUCCCUGAAGGAUCCGGUCCACUAUUAUUUUAUCCGCCCAUCCGUGAGGGUCCCAGCUGAGGUGGGCUCUGCUUACUUUCCCUCACUCUGUUUAUUGCUGCAUAUCCUGAUUCCCCUAGGUCUUCCUGCAUAGGGAAGACAUUAACCAGCCCUUAAAGCCAGCACCCGAGGUGGGAGUAGACCUGGAUUCCAGCAAGUUCUCUAACGCUAGUUUUUGUUAUAGCUGAUGCAGUAGUCAGAUAAUUUCCAGACACCCAGCAUCUCAUCCCAGCAGAGCCCCUCCCACUGGGACCUCUAGUCAAGUCUGCUGCUUCCUCAGACCUCUAAGAGGAGAAAUCACUGUCAUACUCUGCCCUCCCACAAGGAGAGUCCCUUUCAGCUGCACGCGGGACACAUUUGCCCCCUUGAAGGCUCCUAACCGUGAUCUAGGGCUUUCCACAAUUUAGUGUCUGGCCAGGAAAUGCAAUUCUGAGUUUUAGAACUUUUUCUUUGUUUUGGUUAGGAACCUACGUCUGGUGUGUCUACCUUCCUGGUUCUCACUUCCCCAUCCACCAUCAUUAGAAUUCCCCUGAUGAAUAUUAAUAAGAUGGCUCUCAAGUUCUCAAGUUUUAAUUAGGCAGGGCCCUAGGGAAAUGUGUGUAUCUUGGACACAGGGGAAGCCAUGCUUGGGGAGAACAGGAAAGGAACUAUCAGCAGUAUGGGUCCUUGGGGACCUUGUGGCCGAUAGAUAGCACAGAUACAGUUGUUACUUGUGCCCCAGUGGAAGUCCUGGAAACCCAGUAUGAAUGUCAGACGUGCUUACUAACAUACCAAAGGGGGAACUGGCUAGCUCUCCCAGCAUCCCUCAGUACCUGUGUCUCCUUCCAGCUCUCCCAGCAUCCCUCAGUACCUGUGUCUCCUCCAAGCUCUCCUAGCACCACUUAGUACCCAUGUCUCCUCCCAUCCUCCCUCGGUAUCUGUGGCUCCUCUCUCAGCACUGCUGCCCACCCCAAACCUCUCCCUCUUAGGGCCUGGGCUCCCAUUUUCCUUCCUCCUAUUCCUAUAUAACUCAGCCAUUUGGCUCUCCCGCUCUUGCUCAGACGGUCCAUGCCGCCUCUAUUGUUCUCUCUUCUGCUCUCUCCUCUCCUGGUCCAGUAGAGCCUGCUGGGCAUCUUAGCCUGGACUCUUCCCUCUGCCUGCUUUCUCCCUUGUCUUCUUCAUACUUUAGGAGUAGCAAUGCUCUCCUUUUUUAUUUCAUUUUCUCAUUCACCCAGAGCAACUGAGGUGAGGCUUCAGCUAUUCAACUCCAAUACUGCAGCCGGCUCUGGCUGUUAUUGUUGGUUUUAGGAAUAGAGUCAUUUGUCUGGUUCCUUUACUUCUAUUAGGAGAUUGAAUUGGCCCAUAACAUCGGCAAGGGAGGACCUAGUAAGUGUGGAUACGACCCGUACUCAAGGGUCUAGCUUUCUCUCAACACUGAGGAGAUGAUGAGCACGGACACCUCCACCUAAAUGUGCUCAUGUCCACCGUCGGGAUCUGUGCCUGCAGACUCAUUCUGUUCGGCUCCGCGUCUCUUUCCCUAGACUCCAUAUGUAAGGCCAAGACGUAUGUACAACCGUCUUCAAAAAUAUUGCACUUUUUUUUUUCAUGUGUGUGUUCAUGUGCCAUUAUGCACGGGUUGGGAUCAGAGGACAACUUCUGGGAGCCUGUUCUCUCCUUUCAGUAUGUGGGUUCCCCGGAUCGAGGAGGUCACCCGUCUUGGUGGGUGGCGAGUGCCUUAACCGUCUCGCGGUCAUUUAAACUUUACCGUGCAUGGUUAUUUAAAAGUAGGCAGAAUAGCAACACUGACACGUCCACCCAUUAGCAGGGACCAUGUCCAACUCCCCCUUCCUGAUGUUGUUUGCUGGUAAAUUCUGGGCAUCAUACAAUUCUGCUUUCAGGUGUACCCUUAUCCACCUUUAUGACCUGUUAUGUCAUCAGCUCCCAACUUUUCUUUUGAGGUAAAUCUCAAAUAUCCCGUUUGACAUGUUUCUAGGGGACCUUUUCUUCCCCUUUGCCUGAUACUGUCAAAUGAGGCUAUCUGUUCACCAGAGAGAACCCUACGUGAAUGAAUACAGGGAAACAGGUUUGACCUGGACAGACAAACUGGCAUGGGAAGAAGCAGGGUGAGGUAGAAUAUGGAGGGAAGACACAGCAUGUUGAGCAAAAACUAGCGAAACCAACCACCCCCAUCCCCAACCCCAGCACAGACAUACAUCCAAAAUAGGUGAAGAGACACAGGGAGUGCUCUCUGACACACGUUCCCGCAAAGUCAGCUGGCCUUGGCGACCACGGUGUCCUUUCUAGAAAGAUUCACUCCCCCCCCCAAAAAAAAAUUAUCACCAAUCCAUUAAAUAAGGCUUUUUUCUUUGUUUCUUGGUCUCUCCCUCAUUUCUCUCAUCUAAUCUGUCUCUUCUCUACUCUUUUCUUCUCUCUCUCUCUCUCUCUCUCUCUCUCAUCCCUCAUCUCUCUCUGCUUUCUGUCUCUCUUCUUUGUUGCUGUUUUUUCUCCCCCCCCCUCCCCUUAACCUUUUCUUCAGAGGACCAAGACUUAGCCCAAAGGCUCUUCCUAGUUCUGCUCCCUCCUGAAGCUGCUCUCCAUGGCAACAGAGGCUGCCUCACACUGUGAGACCCAGCAAGGCAGGGGAGGGAGAGGUUGCAGAAAACAUACAUUGUCUAAAAGCAACUGACUUAUUUCUAGGUUGUUUUGAUGAAGGAAGAUGACCCAGAGCAUUUCUGGGGAGGUGACAAACUGGAGGUAAUGAUGGCACUUUAAUGCCUCUGUUCCUCAAGUUUGUUGUGAUAUCUUUAUUUCUCUCCCCAAAGGAGGUACAGAGAGAAAAGACAGGGGGACUCAUUGCUUCCAUGCACCCCCACGGCACCACACCAUGACACCCCCACCCCAAAUGCCAUGCAAUGGAGGGAACUUCCCAUCUGCUCUCCCUGGGCUGAGGGAAUGUGACCCAGGCAUAACGGAUGCUCCUAUACGGUUCCCUAGCCUCCUGGGGAGCCCUAAUCUUCUUCAGCCUGGUAGGAUGUUUAAUCAGCAAGGAGGUGGGUACCACACAGUGCAGUUCUUUGGGGUGGCUGUAGGAAGCUUUGGGGCUGUCUUUUCUUUUUUUAAUCUCCUGCCCUUGAGUGCCUGCAGUGUUGCAACUUUUACUCUGGCCAUGGAAAUGCACAAGAAACAAAUAAAAGCAAGUGUAAGGGAGGCUGAAGGCUGGGGAGAGCUGGAAGUGCCUACCUCAUGAGCAUCAGGACCUGGGUUCCUCAUCUCCAAUAUCCAUGCAAGAAGCUGGGCUUCACAGUGCACAUCACUAAUCCUAGUGCUUGGGAGGUGAAGUCAGAUGGUAUCUGCCAGAAUUCACAGGCCAGAGGGAAUAGAGGAGGAGACCUUAUAAUAGACUCUACACACACACAGUACACAGGUACACAUGUACAUACACAGCACACACACACAUUCUACACUCUACAUACACAGACACACAGAUACACUCUACAGAUACUACACACAUACACCACACAUACUACAUACAUUGCACAUAUUCUACACACACAGACAUAGACACACAUACUACACACACACACACACACACACACACACACACACACACACACACCCCUCUGUGGGACAAUAGACCAUGCCAGGAAACUUGAUAGGUUGAAUGGGUUCAGAGUCCCUGGCACCCAGGUACCCCCCUGAGAUGUUGGUGACUCCAUGCUCCCUACCAGAUUUCUGACCUGGGACAUGUGCCACACUUCUUACACAAGAAAUGUGACCUGUGGUCAUGUAAGCUCAAAUCCAGAGUUCUUUAUGCUAAUAAGGCCCCCCAAGGGUUUACCCAAUAAGCUUUCCUUCUCAGACAUUCCUCCCUUCAAAAGGUAUUCAAUCUCUGGUCCACCCUGAAGAGAUAUGUACCCAUACAUAAACAAGUUUGUAUCAGUAAACAGUUUGGAACCAAGAACUGUCUUUUCCAUCAAGAACCACUGUAGGGAGCAUGGAGAAGGUCUUUGCCUUCAGCCCCCUCUGCACUCCUGGACAAUUGCUGCUAAGGACUUUCACUGAUGAGCUAAGCCAGGAGUUCCCCACUCCCCCAGCCCCUGGUUUAUCACAAGUCUUCAGCCCACAGGCCCCCCAACUCUGUUCCCAAACUCCCCACAACCCAGCAGCUCCUGGAUGUCCAGGAGUCCUCACCGCAGACCUGGGGAUCCCUGAUCUCCUUUCCUGACUCCUCUGUGGGCAACUGGAUGCCUAGAAGUCAGGGAACCCCAGCUUCUGCCUCCCACACUCUAGGCUGCAGUUUUUCCACCCCUUGAGCAAUGCUCAGCUCUUCCCUUAAAGUCCAGCACUCGAUGGCUCUGGUGCUGGGUAAACAGUCUAGUGCUCCCCAAGAUUCGCACCCCCAGUGCUGUUUCCCACACCCCAGCAGUGGGGAGAGAAACAUGGACCCCCACACCCCCAGGAUGUUCCCCCUGCUCUUCAAAGGUGCUUUUGUUCUGGGCUUGUCUGUAGAGAUAAGACAGAGCAAAGCUUUAUCAUUCACCAGCCAAGCUGUCAUAUGCCUUGGGGCAUCAACAAUUCAUGUCCCAAUGCUUGAACAACAAACAGCACAACAUCUUUCUUAGGUAGGAGCCUUCGUCUCAAGCCUGAGAGUGGAUUAUUGUACCCCUCUGGAUUAACGUUCCUAGCUUCAACAAGAAAAUUUCCACGGGGUCAAACAGUACAGAUAGAACCUAAGGAAACCCCCAAGGAGAGGAACAUUAGGUGGUUCUGGGAAAGGAGAAAGACCUUCACCAGACAGUGGUGAGAUACCAAGCAAAGCAGGAAGGCAAGCAAACUAGGGCACCAGUGCCUCUCUCCCUCAUGACCCC
Non-coding RNA from Rattus norvegicus (Norway rat), 15900 nucleotides. The record is from RefSeq and is a predicted model, not a curated record. NCBI's taxonomy places the organism in Eukaryota, Metazoa, Chordata, Mammalia, Rodentia, Muridae.